GAGGGUAGAGCUCAGUGGUAGAGUGUGUGCUUGGCAUGCAUGAGGUGCUGGAUUCAAUCCCCAGUACCUCCA
This 72-nucleotide transfer RNA is filed under the name Camelus bactrianus (Bactrian camel). It matches the Rfam family "tRNA". Rfam says of the family: Transfer RNA (tRNA) molecules are approximately 80 nucleotides in length. Their secondary structure includes four short double-helical elements and three loops (D, anti-codon, and T loops). The record is from Rfam by way of RNAcentral. Lineage: Eukaryota; Metazoa; Chordata; Mammalia; Artiodactyla; Camelidae. RNAcentral also lists the same sequence under 2 other names.